CGGGGCGUGGCGCAGUCCGGUAGCGCACCUGCUUUGGGAGCAGGGGGUCCCCAGUUCGAAUCUGGGCGCCCCGAC
RNAcentral lists this transfer RNA (75 nucleotides) under Gammaproteobacteria bacterium. RNAcentral describes it as "tRNA-Pro". It matches the Rfam family "tRNA". From Rfam's summary of the family: Transfer RNA (tRNA) molecules are approximately 80 nucleotides in length. Their secondary structure includes four short double-helical elements and three loops (D, anti-codon, and T loops). Further hydrogen bonds mediate the characteristic L-shaped molecular structure. tRNAs have two regions of fundamental functional importance: the anti-codon, which is responsible for specific mRNA codon recognition, and the 3' end, to which the tRNAs corresponding amino acid is attached (by aminoacyl-tRNA synthetases). tRNAs cope with the degeneracy of the genetic code in two manners: having more than one tRNA (with a specific anti-codon) for a particular amino acid; and 'wobble' base-pairing, i.e. permitting non-standard base-pairing at the 3rd anti-codon position. RNAcentral also lists the same sequence under 1 other name. Lineage: Bacteria; Pseudomonadati; Pseudomonadota; Gammaproteobacteria. The record is from RNAcentral.